CCUACGGGAGGCAGCAGUGGGGAAUAUUGGGCAAUGGAGGAAACUCUGACCCAGCAAUGCCGCGUGAAUGAAGAAGGUCUUCGGAUUGUAAAGUUCUUUUGUCAGGGAACAAAGGCGGGGACGUGUCCCCGGAUGAGUGUACCUGAAGAAAAAGCAUCGGCUAACUCCGUGCCAGCAGCCGCGGUAAUACGGAGGAUGCGAGCGUUAUCCGGAUUUAUUGGGUUUAAAGGGUGCGCAGGCGGUCUGUUAAGUCAGCGGUCAAAGCCCGGGGCUCAACCCCGGCCCGCCGUUGAAACUGGCAGUCUCGAGUUGGAGAGAAGUAUGCGGAAUGCGCGGUGUAGCGGUGAAAUGCAUAGAUAUCGCGCAGAACUCCGAUUGCGAAGGCAGCAUGCCGGCUCCACACUGACGCUGAGGCACGAAAGCGUGGGUAUCGAACAGGAUUAGAUACCCCUGUAGUC
RNAcentral lists this ribosomal RNA (458 nucleotides) under uncultured bacterium. RNAcentral's name for it is "partial 16S ribosomal RNA". It matches the Rfam family "Bacterial small subunit ribosomal RNA", at positions 338 to 795 of the family's 1533-position model. The record is from RNAcentral.